RNAcentral lists this ribosomal RNA (429 nucleotides) under Chloroflexota bacterium. RNAcentral describes it as "Chloroflexi bacterium partial 16S ribosomal RNA". It matches the Rfam family "Bacterial small subunit ribosomal RNA", at positions 355 to 776 of the family's 1533-position model. The record is from RNAcentral. Lineage: Bacteria; Bacillati; Chloroflexota.
UGGGGAAUAUUGCACAAUGGGCGCAAGCCUGAUGCAGCCAUGCCGCGUGUGUGAAGAAGGCUUUCGGGUUGUAAAGCACUUUCAGCGGGGAGGAAGGCGAUAAGGUUAAUAACCUCAUCGAUUGACGUUACCCGCAGAAGAAGCACCGGCUAACUCCGUGCCAGCAGCCGCGGUAAUACGGAGGGUGCAAGCGUUAAUCGGAAUUACUGGGCGUAAAGCGCACGCAGGCGGUUUGUUAAGUCAGAUGUGAAAUCCCCGGGCUCAACCUGGGAACUGCAUCUGAUACUGGCAAGCUUGAGUCUCGUAGAGGGGGGUAGAAUUCCAGGUGUAGCGGUGAAAUGCGUAGAGAUCUGGAGGAAUACCGGUGGCGAAGGCGGCCCCCUGGACGAAGACUGACGCUCAGGUGCGAAAGCGUGGGGAGCAAACAGG